Molecule: long non-coding RNA, 870 nt
Organism: Schistocerca piceifrons (Central American locust)
Lineage: Eukaryota; Metazoa; Arthropoda; Insecta; Orthoptera; Acrididae
Exons: 3
Source: RefSeq, a predicted model, not a curated record
GAUUUUAACGUUUUAAUAAUAUUCACCUACGUAUCUUUUAAACAUGAUUUUUUAAAUUUGUUUGAAAAAGAAAGUUUUAAUUUCAGCCAGUUCAUGGAACAUCUUGGGCUAACCAUGUAGCGGUAGCCGCACAAAACUGCCGCACUAAAAAAACUUGAGUUUGCUUAAAACGCAUUUACUGGUUUUCAAGUUGUUGUAGUUGUUUGGAAAUAAGUGGAGCUAUGGUGGCAGCUGUGUACCGAUGAACAGAACCAGUUGAGGUACUGUUAAGGUCAAGAAUGAGUGUAUUACUAUAGCCCUUCUGCUCAAGUACUGGCCCUUACAUUCUUGAAAAUGGAGGUCACAAUGACAGUAUUAUUGGGUCAUUAGGGAAAUUUUAUGUCUGAAUUGCAGUAUUUCUCAGCUGCUAGACAAUCAUGGCAGCUGUGUAGCAGUAAAACAAUGUCAUGUGACCAGACUGAGAAACCGUGGGACAUUGUUUACAUUCUUCCACUUGUGACAAAUUCAAACACUCAGAGAGUUGGUAUUACAUGAUUUACCUGAGGAUAGGUGGUCAAAUGAAGCAUCAAAUUUGUGAUUUCUUUACUGUGAUGUGGAAAGAAUGGGAGCCCAGCAGUAGACAGGACAAAUGCAUAUACAGAAGAUGAUUGUCAACAUUCUGUGACUUCAGUAUGUUACAUGUCAAGAAUGGAAUAGGUGCAGCACAAUUGUUUUGACUAACUGCUAGCCAAAGAUGAAAUCAUUUUCUGCUUCAUUAAACCAGAGUACUGCUCAUCAAAUUUUGGUUACUCUUUCUCAUAAGGUUGUGUGUAACGGUGGAAAAUUGUACUGGCCACAAAGUUUUCGUAACCAUACAUCCGUAUGUCAGGC